RNAcentral lists this ribosomal RNA (225 nucleotides) under uncultured bacterium. RNAcentral describes it as "partial 16S ribosomal RNA". It matches the Rfam family "Bacterial small subunit ribosomal RNA", at positions 147 to 353 of the family's 1533-position model. The record is from RNAcentral.
CAGACGGAAACGACUGCUAAUACCGAAUAAGUUCCAAGAGCCGCAUGGCCCAUGGAAGAAAAGGUGGCCUCUACCUGUAAGCUAUCGCCUGAAGAGGGGUUUGCGUCUGAUUAGCUGGUUGGAGGGGUAACGGCCCACCAAGGCGACGAUCAGUAGCCGGUCUGAGAGGAUGAUCGGCCACACUGGAACUGAGACACGGUCCAGACUCCUACGGGAGGCAGCAUG